GCCUUCGUAGCGCAGCUUGGCAGCGCGUAAGUCUCAUAAUCUUAAGGUCGUGAGUUCGAUCCUCACCGAGGGCA
Aphidius gifuensis is the source of this 74-nucleotide non-coding RNA. The record is from the annotation of a RefSeq genome assembly. NCBI's taxonomy places the organism in Eukaryota, Metazoa, Arthropoda, Insecta, Hymenoptera, Braconidae.